RNAcentral lists this long non-coding RNA (697 nucleotides) under Phascolarctos cinereus (koala). RNAcentral's name for it is "lncRNA (ENSPCIG00000020111.2)". Lineage: Eukaryota; Metazoa; Chordata; Mammalia; Diprotodontia; Phascolarctidae. The record is from RNAcentral.
AAUUAAUAAAAUGACAUUUCAUUUUUUGUUAGACUUGUAGAAGACUGCACACUAGCCAUUGUGAGCUGCUAUUGUUACUUCAGAACCUUAGGUCACAGAAGAGGCACAUCUAGUCUAUUCCUGCAUCCCUGUAAUCCGUACUCAAUGAUCUCCAGGACUAUAAGGUCACAUGAUUAAUUCUGGCUGACUGCAGAGAGAUUCAGAACAGAAAAAUAGAGGCUUGUGAGCAAUGCUUGACUACCUGGUGAAGCUGAACAGAUCUUCCUCCUCACAAGUGAAGAAACUAGAGUUUGGAAAAACCACGCCUUCAUCAUUCUUCAGUCUUCAUUUGUACCUUGUUGCCACAGCCAUCAGCUUCAUUGGGCUUCCAAGAUGGAAGACAGCCUGUGGAAACUUCCCAUCGUGGCACAUGCCUCUAAGCCCUGCUACUGGGGUGGGUGAGGUUGGUGGAUCAUUUAAGCUUGGAUAUCCUUAGCUGUGGUGGACUAAGCCAAUUAGGUGUCUUCACUAGGCCUGCCAUUAAUGUGUUGAGACCUAGAGAGUAGGGGGCCAUCAAUAUGCUUAAAGAAGGACCCAGAUUGGGAAGGAAGGAGGGAGGAAAGGAGAGAAAGAAGGAAGGAAGGAAGGAGAAAGAAAGAAAGAAAGAAAGAAAGAAAGAAAGAAAGAAAGAAAGAAAGAAAAAGAAAGAAAGAAAGAA